GAAUUGUUCCCAAGAAACCUGCCAAGAUAAGUGCCGUGAUCCUCACUGCCCAGAUGGGACACGGGCCUGGAGACAUAAAGCCCCCACUCAGAGCAGUAAAG
Molecule: long non-coding RNA, 101 nt
Organism: Neofelis nebulosa (Clouded leopard)
Lineage: Eukaryota; Metazoa; Chordata; Mammalia; Carnivora; Felidae
Exons: 3
Source: RefSeq, a predicted model, not a curated record